AUGCAAGUCGAGCGCUGAUUGCAGGGUAGCAAUAUUCUGUAGUCGGAGCGGCGCAAGGGUGCGUAACACGUGGGUAAUCUGCCAUGAAGUUUGGGAUAACUUGCUGAAAGGCGAGCUAAUACCGGAUGUGAAAAUUGGGAGGCAUCUUCCGAUUUUCAAAGCUGGGGACCGUAAGGCCUGGCGCUUCAUGAUGAGCCCGCGGCCUAUCAGCUAGUUGGUAAGGUAACGGCUUACCAAGGCUAAGACGGGUAGCUGGUCUGAGAGGACGACCAGCCACACUGGAACUGAGACACGGUCCAGACACCUACGGGUGGCAGCAGUCGAGAAUUUUUCACAAUGGGCGCAAGCCUGAUGGAGCGACGCCGCGUGGGGGAUGAAUGGCUUCGGCCCGUAAACCCCUGUCAUUUGCGAUCAAACCUCGUUAUUUAAAAGAUGACGAGCUGAUAGUAGCGAAAGAGGAAGGGACGGCUAACUCUGUGCCAGCAGCCGCGGUAAUACAGAGGUCCCAAGCGUUGUUCGGAUUCACUGGGCGUAAAGGGUGCGUAGGUGGCGAGGUAAGUCGGAUGUGAAAGCUCGGAGCUCAACUCCGAAAUGGCAUUGGAAACUACCUUGCUCGAGGGUCGGAGGGGGAACUGGAAUACUUGGUGUAGCAGUGAA
Molecule: ribosomal RNA, 657 nt
Filed under: uncultured soil bacterium
Lineage: Bacteria
Description: bacterial SSU rRNA
Rfam family: Bacterial small subunit ribosomal RNA
Source: RNAcentral